Molecule: ribosomal RNA, 379 nt
Filed under: uncultured bacterium
Lineage: Bacteria
Description: partial 16S ribosomal RNA
Rfam family: Bacterial small subunit ribosomal RNA
Source: RNAcentral
UGGGGAAUAUUGCAACAUGGGCGAAAGCCUGAUGCAGCAACGCCGCGUGAGUGAUGAAGGCCUUCGGGUUGUAAAGCUCUGUCUUUUGGGACGAUAAUGACGGUACCAAAGGAGGAAGCCACGGCUAACUACGUGCCAGCAGCCGCGGUAAUACGUAGGUGGCAAGCGUUGUCCGGAUUUACUGGGCGUAAAGGAUGCGUAGGCGGAUUUUUAAGUGAGAUGUGAAAUACCCGGGCUUAACUUGGGUGCUGCAUUUCAAACUGGGAAUCUAGAGUGCGGGAGAGGAGAAUGGAAUUCCUAGUGUAGCGGUGAAAUGCGUAGAGAUUAGGAAGAACACCAGUGGCGAAGGCGAUUCUCUGGACCGUAACUGACGUCGAGC